UGUGAGGCAUGCUGGAGGUAUCAGAAGUGCGAAUGCUGACAUAAGUAACGAUAAAGCGGGUGAAAAGCCCGCUCGCCGGAAGACCAAGGGUUCCUGUCCAACGUUAAUCGGGGCAGGGUGAGUCGACCCCUAAGGCGAGGCCGAAAGGCGUAGUCGAUGGGAAACAGGUUAAUAUUCCUGUACUUGGUGUUACUGCGAAGGGGGGACGGAGAAGGCUAUGUUGGCCGGGCGACGGUUGUCCCGGUUUAAGCGUGUAGGCUGGUUUUCCAGGCAAAUCCGGAAAAUCAAGGCUGAGGCGUGAUGACGAGGCACUACGGUGCUGAAGCAACAAAUGCCCUGCUUCCAGGAAAAGCCUCUAAGCAUCAGGUAACAUCAAAUCGUACCCCAAACCGACACAGGUGGUCAGGUAGAGAAUACCAAGGCGCUUGAGAGAACUCGGGUGAAGGAACUAGGCAAAAUGGUGCCGUAACUUCGGGAGAAGGCACGCUGAUAUGUAGGUGAAGUCCCUCGCGGAUGGAGCUGAAAUCAGUCGAAGAUACCAGCUGGCUGCAACUGUUUAUUAAAAACACAGCACUGUGCAAACACGAAAGUGGACGUAUACGGUGUGACGCCUGCCCGGUGC
RNAcentral lists this ribosomal RNA (622 nucleotides) under Escherichia coli. RNAcentral describes it as "partial 23S ribosomal RNA". It matches the Rfam family "Bacterial large subunit ribosomal RNA", at positions 1262 to 1869 of the family's 2925-position model. The record is from RNAcentral. Lineage: Bacteria; Pseudomonadati; Pseudomonadota; Gammaproteobacteria; Enterobacterales; Enterobacteriaceae.